UGGUGCUUGCACCUGAUUGACGAUGGAUCACCAGUGAGUGGCGGACGGGUGAGUAACACGUAGGUAACCUGCCCCGGAGCGGGGGAUAACAUUUGGAAACAGAUGCUAAUACCGCAUAACAACAAAAGCCACAUGGCUUUUGUUUGAAAGAUGGCUUUGGCUAUCACUCUGGGAUGGACCUGCGGUGCAUUAGCUAGUUGGUAAGGUAACGGCUUACCAAGGCGAUGAUGCAUAGCCGAGUUGAGAGACUGAUCGGCCACAAUGGAACUGAGACACGGUCCAUACUCCUACGGGAGGCAGCAGUAGGGAAUCUUCCACAAUGGGCGCAAGCCUGAUGGAGCAACACCGCGUGAGUGAAGAAGGGUUUCGGCUCGUAAAGCUCUGUUGUUGGAGAAGAACGUGCGUGAGAGUAACUGUUCACGCAGUGACGGUAUCCAACCAGAAAGUCACGGCUAACUACGUGCCAGCAGCCGCGGUAAUACGUAGGUGGCAAGCGUUAUCCGGAUUUAUUGGGCGUAAAGCGAGCGCAGGCGGUUGCUUAGGUCUGAUGUGAAAGCCUUCGGCUUAACCGAAGAAGUGCAUCGGAAACCGGGCAACUUGAGUGCAGAAGAGGACAGUGGAACUCCAUGUGUAGCGGUGGAAUGCGUAGAUAUAUGGAAGAACACCAGUGGCGAAGGCGGCUGUCUGGUCUGCAACUGACGCUGAGGCUCGAAAGCAUGGGUAGCGAACAGGAUUAGAUACCCUGGUAGUCCAUGCCGUAAACGAUGAGUGCUAGGUGUUGGAGGGUUUCCGCCCUUCAGUGCCGGAGCUAACGCAUUAAGCACUCCGCCUGGGGGAGUACGACCGCAAGGUUGAAACUCAAAGGAAUUGACGGGGGCCCCGCACGAGCGGUGGAGCAUGUGGUUUAAAUUCGAAGCUAC
RNAcentral lists this ribosomal RNA (920 nucleotides) under uncultured bacterium. RNAcentral's name for it is "bacterial SSU rRNA". It matches the Rfam family "Bacterial small subunit ribosomal RNA", at positions 49 to 960 of the family's 1533-position model. The record is from RNAcentral.